CCUACGGGAGGCAGCAGUGAGGAAUAUUGGUCAAUGGACGGAAGUCUGAACCAGCCAUGCCGCGUGCAGGAUGACGGCUCUACGAGUUGUAAACUGCUUUUGUACAAGGGUAAACCUGAAUACGUGUAUUCCGCUGAAAGUACUGUACGAAUAAGGAUCGGCUAACUCCGUGCCAGCAGCCGCGGUAAUACGGAGGGUGCGAGCGUUAAUCGGAAUUACUGGGUGUAAAGCGCUGGUAGGCGGGAUGUCAGGUCUAGGGUGAAAUCCCCGCGCUCAACGUGGGAAAUGCCUUUGAAACGGGCAACUGGAGUGUGUGAGAGGAUAGUGGAAUUCCAGGUGUAGGAGUGAAAUGCGUAGAUAUCUGGAGGAACAUCAGUGGCGAAGGCGACUGUCUGGCGCAUAACUGACGCUGAGGAGCGAAAGCGCGGGUAGCAAACAGGAUUAGAUACCCUUGUAGUC
RNAcentral lists this ribosomal RNA (459 nucleotides) under uncultured bacterium. RNAcentral's name for it is "partial 16S ribosomal RNA". It matches the Rfam family "Bacterial small subunit ribosomal RNA", at positions 338 to 795 of the family's 1533-position model. The record is from RNAcentral.